This 1290-nucleotide long non-coding RNA is filed under the name Oncorhynchus mykiss (rainbow trout). RNAcentral's name for it is "lncRNA (ENSOMYG00000059571.1)". Lineage: Eukaryota; Metazoa; Chordata; Actinopteri; Salmoniformes; Salmonidae. The record is from RNAcentral.
UAGUGGAGGGGGAGGAGUUUCAGUACUUCCUCAGUUGUCGGAGUUAUGCUGCCCCUGACAUACAGACAUUAUCUUCUCACAAACACACUCUCUUCUCACACACUGUCAGACACUCUGUUCUCACACACUGUCAGACACUCUCGCGGCUGUAUUCAUUACUGUCUGUUGCUCUUUCAAAACACAGGAACAGGGACAGGAGCAGAAUGACUGGGCUUUAGCCUGGUGGAGGGGAACGUUUCCCCAGACUGAGGACACACUGGGACUACUGGACUGGACUACUGUACCACUACCACCCUCAUGACGAAUGAAGUGACAGGAGAGAACAGACAGCAGGACAGAGACAUCUCCCCUGCUGAGCUGGAUGCACUAUGGAGAGAACCACCGUACACGCUAGCGGGAACCAAUGAGCACUUCCCAGGAAAUGAUGUUAUGAAUCCAGGUAACUACAGUAAAAGCCUUAAAGCAUUCGAUGACACAAAACAUCCAGCUGAUUCUAUCCCAAUUAAGUCCUGCAUGAGUUAUAUUGCCCAGACACAUGUUGUCUGGGCACAUGUUUAGGACAGCUAAAGCAGGUCGUUAUAUUAUAAUAGACCAUCUGGGAGAGGCAGUACGUUAAUAGAUGGGUGGGCUUUGAUAGGCUCUUUAUGUUCUGUUGAUGUUCUGGAGGAAACAGACUAAUCACUGUUGAAAUCCUCAUCAGCUGGACCACAGAAUACACGGUACACCAGCAGUUAAGUAACUUUUAGUGUGAAUGUUUCCUCAUACAGUAACUGGUUACCAGUCAGGUUUGCGUUCCAGAAGGAUAUACGAUGAAGCAUUGUGCUCUCCAUUCCCUCUUGACAGUUGUCACAAAACAAGGUUGCUCGAUGAUCUUGCACUUGCUUACAGAGCACAUGUAGCUGACACAAAAGUCUAUUUUAAAAUCAACCCCCCGAAACAGCUGUCUCACCCGUUCCUUCCUGAGGGUUCCACUGACCUGACCUGACCUGAUCUCUGUUUCCUGUCUUCUCCAGGGGUGGAAGGGCUGGGGGUGGAGUCUGGGGGUGGGGAGGCGGAGCCGUACAGUUACUGGAAGAGGAAGGAGGAGUUCACCAGAGGAAGCACCGUGUCACUGGCCGUGGGAGAGAGGUUCUCCUCAGGUACUGUUCUGCUCUCAGAUGCUCUGUACGGAUGUGUUCCAAAUGGUACCCUAAUACCUAUAGGUGCACUUUGACCCAAACGGUGCUAUUUGGGACAGCCAGGGUGUUUCUCUCUCUAUUCCUGCUUGGAUGUGCUAACUGCUAACGUAGC